This 563-nucleotide long non-coding RNA is filed under the name Haliotis rufescens (red abalone). RNAcentral describes it as "uncharacterized LOC124111813, transcript variant X1". The record is from RNAcentral. Lineage: Eukaryota; Metazoa; Mollusca; Gastropoda; Lepetellida; Haliotidae.
CGGUCACGUGAUGCAGUCUGGAGGCCUAGAUCCACCCCAACACUGAACGACCUCCCCGCGUCAACAGCUGGGGGCUGAAGCGAGUCGAGGCGUAACAGAGGAAGCUAGUCGUGAAAGAACUUGGCGUUAUUGUAAAACCAAUCCAGGAUGAGUGGAAGCAGUGGCUAUACCGUUCUGUCGGGGAUAUUGUCCGCCACGUUUGUGGCGGCAGGAGCUAUUAAACUCUCCCCUGUCCCUGCGAGUCUACACAACGGAAUGAUUGCCGAAUUCAGAGAAUACGCUACAAAGUUCCCGGGAAAUGUCAUUGGCUGCCCGAUCAACCCACUGACGUACAUGUAUGCUGCUGGGUUGCUGGAUUUCAGCCUCGGUAUGGGCUUGCUGUUGGGAUCACGAAAGGUCAAGGUCGUCUGUUCAAUUGGCGUAAUGGCGGACAUGGCAUUGUUCAUACCGACAGAAAUAAGCCUUGGAAUGUACGGGAAAAGUCUGGUUCCCAUAGCAACACUGAUCAUGUCCUUUUGCCUCUAUAGACAUUUGACAGACAAAAUAAAAAUAACAUAAAAAUA